RNAcentral lists this ribosomal RNA (501 nucleotides) under uncultured bacterium. RNAcentral's name for it is "partial 16S ribosomal RNA". It matches the Rfam family "Bacterial small subunit ribosomal RNA", at positions 30 to 523 of the family's 1533-position model. The record is from RNAcentral.
AUUGAACGCUGGCGGCAGGCUUAACACAUGCAAGUCGAGCGGAGAUGAGGUGCUUGCACCUUAUCUUAGCGGCGGACGGGUGAGUAAUGCUUAGGAAUCUGCCUAUUAGCGGGGGACAACAUUCCGAAAGGAAUGCUAAUACCGCAUACGUCCGACGUGAGAAAGCAGGGGAUAUUCGGACCUUGUGCUAUCAGUUGAGCCUCAGUCGGAUUAGCUAGUUGGGGGGGUAAAGGCCUACCAAGGCGCGGAUCUGUAGCGGGUCUGAGAGGAUCAUCCGCCACACUGGGACUGAGACACGGCCCAGACUCCUACGGGAGGCAGCAGUGGGGAAUAUUGGACAAUGGGGGGAACCCUGAUCCAGCCAUGCCGCGUGUGUGAAGAAGGCCUUAUGGUUGUAAAGCACUUUAAGCGAGGAGGAGGCUACUGAGACUAAUACUCUUGGAUAGUGGACGUUACUCGCAGAAUAAGCACCGGCUAACUCUGUGCCAGCCGCCGCCGUAA